AGUGCUAGCACUUUGUGUUAGCUGUUUUCUUGUCUAAAAAACAAGGAGAGUAAAGGGCGGGUAAGAUCGGGUGCCAGCCGCCGCGGUAAUACCCGCGCCCUGAGUGGUGCUCGUUAUUAUUGGGUCUAAAACAUCCGUAGCCGGUUCUGUAAAUGCCUAGGUAAAUCGAUAGGCUUAACUUGUCGAAUUCUAGGUAGACUGCAGAACUUGGGAUCGGGAGAGGUUAGAGGUACUUCGGGGGUAGGGGUAAAAUCCUGUAAUCCUUGAAGGACCACCGGUGGCGAAGGCGUCUAACUAGAACGACUCCGACGGUGAGGGAUGAAGCCCUGGGGCGCAAACGGGAUUAGAUACCCCGGUAGUCCAGGGUGUAAACGCUGUGGGCUUUGUGUUGGACAUCCUACGAGGAUGUCCAGUGCCGGAGAGAAGUUGUUAAGCCCACUACCUGGGGAGUACGGUCGCAAGACUGAAACUUAAAGGAAUUGGCGGGGGAGUACCGCAACGGGAGUAGCGUGCGGUUUAAUUGGAUUCAACGCCGUAAACCUCACCGGAGGAGACCACCACAUGUGGGCCAGGCUGAAGACUUUGCCCGAAUAAUAGGUGGAGAGGUGGUGCAUGGCCGUCGUCAGUUCGUACCGUGAGGCGUUCUGUUAAGUCAGAUAACGAACGAGACCCUUGCCUUUAGUUGCUACCUGUAAGUUCGCUUGCAGGGCACACUAGAGGGACCGCUGGCGCUAAGUCAGAGGAAGGAGAGGGCGACGGUAGGUCAGUAUGCCCUGAAUCCUUCGGGCUACACGCGCGCUACAAAGGAUGGGACAAUAGGUUCCGACGCCGAAAGGCGAAGGCGAUCCCGAAACCCAUCCGUAGUUCGGAUCGGGGGGUUGAAACUCACCCCCGUGAAGCUGGAUUCCGUAGUAAUCGCAAGUCAACACCUUGCGGUGAAUAUGCCCCUU
Molecule: ribosomal RNA, 950 nt
Filed under: uncultured euryarchaeote
Lineage: Archaea; Methanobacteriati; Methanobacteriota
Description: bacterial SSU rRNA
Rfam family: Archaeal small subunit ribosomal RNA
Source: RNAcentral